GCGACGGUAGUCUAAUGGUUAGGACGCUACCCUGCCACGGUGGCAAUCCGGGUUCGAAGCGAGGGACUGAAAAAUGACAAUCUCUCACGAAUUUCCCGGCCGUCGCA
This 107-nucleotide transfer RNA is filed under the name bacterium. Its description in RNAcentral is "tRNA-Gly". It matches the Rfam family "tRNA". From Rfam's summary of the family: Transfer RNA (tRNA) molecules are approximately 80 nucleotides in length. Their secondary structure includes four short double-helical elements and three loops (D, anti-codon, and T loops). Further hydrogen bonds mediate the characteristic L-shaped molecular structure. tRNAs have two regions of fundamental functional importance: the anti-codon, which is responsible for specific mRNA codon recognition, and the 3' end, to which the tRNAs corresponding amino acid is attached (by aminoacyl-tRNA synthetases). tRNAs cope with the degeneracy of the genetic code in two manners: having more than one tRNA (with a specific anti-codon) for a particular amino acid; and 'wobble' base-pairing, i.e. permitting non-standard base-pairing at the 3rd anti-codon position. The record is from RNAcentral.